RNAcentral lists this long non-coding RNA (1045 nucleotides) under Chinchilla lanigera (long-tailed chinchilla). RNAcentral's name for it is "lncRNA (ENSCLAG00000023106.1)". The record is from RNAcentral. Lineage: Eukaryota; Metazoa; Chordata; Mammalia; Rodentia; Chinchillidae.
AUUUUUUUGGUUUUUCUCCGGUACCAGGAACUGAACUCACGACCUUGCGCUUGCCAGGCAGGUGCUUUGCUGCUGAGCUAAAUCCCCAGCCCUGCUAAGUCAGUUUAGACUAGGAAAAAAUGCCCACUAAACUUAAUUACAAAUUGAAUUCAUAAGAUUAAGAAAUAUUUCUAUUUUUUUGGUGAGAGGAAUGCAGCGGAAAGUAAGGAAACUAAGUGAAGUAAGUUGGUGGUUAAGAUUUAGCCACAGCAGUUUUCUUUUUUUUUUUUUGAGACACAGUUUCGCUAUGUAGUUCAGGUUGGACUUGAGCUUGCUGUGUAAUUAGGUUGGCCUCGAACUCUUGGUGAUUGAGGUGAUUACAGGCGUGUGCCACCAUGCCUGGCCAGGGUGGAAGUUAGCUUCUGCAAUUUUAAGUUAAAAACAUUUAGAGGCGUCACUAGAAUGAUGUGUAGCUCUCUGGCCGAAGUCCCUAGGAGGGAGUUGGUAGCACAACAGCCCAGCAAGAACUGGCAGCAAGGACGGAUUUUAUUUAGAGGGCACCUGGCUCUGAAGGGCCAGAACAGCAACUGUCCUGCAGAGUGAGAGGGUUACAAGCGGUAGCAGAGAAGCGGGGAGCUGGAGACUGUUCUGGCAUCCGUCAUUGUAGGCUGUGCCCACUGGUCUGUUUCCUGUUUUCCUAAAGUUCCCGUUCCCCUGGAGCUGAGGGCCUCUUGGUCUGGAAUGGUCUGUUCUAUAAACAGGAGCCGGGCCAGUGAGAGAAUUGGUAUUGUGGUGAGGGUAAGACAAUGGAAGGGGCAGAAUUCAUGUGAAGAUGACCUCUGUGCUUUUCCUUGCAGUUUGGGGUGUGUCCCGGGGCCACAGUGCUGCGUCCUCGAUCUCUCCUGCUCUGCAGUUUCCAGCUUCUUUGACAGAGCAGCUGAUAGAUCCUAUGGUUCUCCAGGAAGCAAAUGGCCAUGUGGAUUCUCCUGUCUCUGAUCCUGUAAGCCUCCCUAAGAAAGCCCCUUACACAACUGCAUAUGUAUUGCUUGAUUCUGUUCUGUUCUGU